Molecule: long non-coding RNA, 1084 nt
Organism: Lycium barbarum (goji berry)
Lineage: Eukaryota; Viridiplantae; Streptophyta; Magnoliopsida; Solanales; Solanaceae
Exons: 3
Source: RefSeq, a predicted model, not a curated record
ACGUCACCAUCAUUCCUGCCAGUCACCGCCGCCGCCGUCCCUACCCAGCUAAAAAAAGCUUGUUUCGGAUAUGACAUUGAAAAAAGAGUUUGCCUAAUAGACUACUUCUUCCAAAUCUCUCCCCCAUUUUCCACGCUCUCAAACUUUCUUCACUUCAUUUUCCCCAUAUCUCACGCCCUUCUCUUCUUCCAAUGCUCUCCACCUUCAUUUUCCAUCUUCCGGUUAAGCCUAAUUUCUCCUUUGAUUCACUAAUUUCCUUUUUCAUUUUAAUUCCCAAAGUUACUUCCCCCUCUUUUUGUUACUCUAACUAAAAUGUUCGAGUCUUGGAGGGAAUUGACCCAAUCUUCCCUUUUCUUUUCUCAGUUGUUUGUGCUUGAUUUAGGAGAUCAUUGUGCUACCUCUAUUGACAACUUUGACGAUCAGUAGACAGCAUCCUUAAUCUUUCUGAACUUGGCACUACAACAAUGUACGGGUUAUAAACCAUCUGAACUGAAAGAUUGUGUUCUCGUAAUCCAUGAGUUGCAAUCAUCCUUGAUUUCGGUCUCUACAUUCUCAAAAGAGCUGCAUUUCUUGACACGCUGUAUGAUUGAUUUUGCUUCGAGGGGGAUUCCCUCGGGUCCUGAUGAUGCUCGUAACCCCCAUACUCAAUCUAGUGGUGCGGAUGAUGAUGAGACUCACGUGUCAAACACACAAAGGCAUGUUUGAAUGUUAAUGUUGUGGUGGAUUUGUGGAUUGUGUAAGUGUUUUGUGGAUGUUUGCGAGGGGUGAAGUAGUGUAAUGUUGUAGACUAGUUUAAUGUUUUGUGGAUGUUUACAAAUGUUGAAGUAGUUUAAUGUUGUUUUGAUGUUUGCAAAGGUUGAAGUAGCUUAAUGUCUGUUGUGAAUGUUUGAUUGAUGUUAUUAUUCAACUUUGAAGUAGUUUCGAAUUGAAUUUGAUGUAUUGGUGGUUGUAAUAUAUGUGUUGUAAUAGUAGCUUAAUGUUUUAUGUAUUUAUAGUAGUUUGGUGUAUUGUUGGCAGCUAUUUGAGCUGGUUUUAGUUGAAAGUAAAAUUAUUUUCAUCUUGACAGGGGAGCAGCUGGAAUAAU